This is a non-coding RNA of Paramuricea clavata, 541 nucleotides long. Lineage: Eukaryota; Metazoa; Cnidaria; Anthozoa; Malacalcyonacea; Plexauridae. The record is from the annotation of a GenBank genome assembly.
UGGCAUAAUAUAAUGAAAUACUCUUACGCCCUAUAAUAUUUUAAUGAAGUUCUAAAUUGAUUAGAAUGAUAUCAUGAAUACAUGAUUAGAAUGAUAUCAUGAAUACAUGUGCAAUACAAUUACAAGCGUGUCAGCAUGAAUUGAACCUGCAGCCCUACAAUUCUACCGCAGCCCUCUGACCUAAAGAGCCCUUUUGCCAAGAGGUAACCACAAGUUGUUGUAUGUAUACCAUGGUGGUGUCAUUGGUAGUGUAUUAAAUAAACUGCCCAGGAUGACACUAGUAUUAUAUACAUGAACUCUUGGUUACAGUAGAGCUUGAUUGACUGUCAGGGCGAUGGACUCUUAGGGCUUCAGGACCUUUGACGGUUAAAAAGCUGAUCAGAAUCACCUGUAGGGCAGCAGGUUCCAUUCCCAGCACAGUACCGGCUAUUACAUAGUUAUCGUUCAAAAAAUUUACAUUUACAGAAAAGCUUUAACCCAUUAAGUGGCAGCACUCUCUCCUUAAUGAGCAAAAAUUGUCUGACCACAUUUGACAGAAAAA